This 253-nucleotide ribosomal RNA is filed under the name uncultured bacterium. RNAcentral's name for it is "partial 16S ribosomal RNA". It matches the Rfam family "Bacterial small subunit ribosomal RNA", at positions 524 to 776 of the family's 1533-position model. The record is from RNAcentral.
UACGUAGGGUGCAAGCGUUAAUCGGAAUUACUGGGCGUAAAGCGUGCGCAGGCGGUUUUGUAAGUCUGUCGUGAAAGCCCCGGGCUCAACCUGGGAAUUGCGAUGGAGACUGCAAGGCUUGAAUCUGGCAGAGGGGGGUAGAAUUCCACGUGUAGCAGUGAUAUGCGUAGAGAUGUGGAGGAACACCGAUGGCGAAGGCAGCCCCCUGGGUCAAGAUUGACGCUCAUGCACGAAAGCGUGGGGAGCAAACAGG